RNAcentral lists this long non-coding RNA (204 nucleotides) under Musa acuminata (dwarf banana). RNAcentral's name for it is "long non-coding RNA (MACU_LNC010244)". The record is from RNAcentral. Lineage: Eukaryota; Viridiplantae; Streptophyta; Magnoliopsida; Zingiberales; Musaceae.
CAUGGGGUACCUUAAUACUGCCAUCAGAGACCGCAUAUUCCAACAUAUAGCUAAGUCCUUCCAUUGCAAUUGUAAAGAGAUAUGGAGAGAGUGGAUAGCCUUGUCGGAUGCCAUUCUUGCUCCCAAAAAACCAAUAGGUGAGCCGUUGAAGAGUAUUGAAAACUUUGGAGUUUCUAAGCAACAUUGAAUCCAAUUAACCCAUUG